RNAcentral lists this ribosomal RNA (177 nucleotides) under uncultured Streptococcus sp. RNAcentral describes it as "partial 16S ribosomal RNA". It matches the Rfam family "Bacterial small subunit ribosomal RNA", at positions 356 to 524 of the family's 1533-position model. The record is from RNAcentral. Lineage: Bacteria; Bacillati; Bacillota; Bacilli; Lactobacillales; Streptococcaceae.
AGGGAAUCUUCGGCAAUGGACGAAAGUCUGACCGAGCAACGCCGCGUGAGUGAAGAAGGUUUUCGGAUCGUAAAGCUCUGUUGUAAGAGAAGAACGAGUGUGAGAGUGGAAAGUUCACACUGUGACGGUAUCUUGCCAGAAAGGGACGGCUAACUACGUGCCAGCAGCCGCGGUAAU